Molecule: small nuclear RNA, 104 nt
Organism: Octodon degus (degu)
Lineage: Eukaryota; Metazoa; Chordata; Mammalia; Rodentia; Octodontidae
Source: Ensembl
AUGCUCGCUUCAGCAGCACAUACACUCCAUUUGGAAUGAUACAGAGAAAAUUAGCAUGGCCCCUGGGCAAAGUUGACACGAAAGUUAAGUGUCCACUAAGUUAU